This is a non-coding RNA of Vigna umbellata (rice bean), 3100 nucleotides long. NCBI's taxonomy places the organism in Eukaryota, Viridiplantae, Streptophyta, Magnoliopsida, Fabales, Fabaceae. The record is from RefSeq and is a predicted model, not a curated record.
GUGUGGCAAUUCCGUAGUUCCAUGGUUUGUACUUUAGCGCUAGCGAUUAUUUUGGGGGCAUUCUUUCUCUUUCUGCCUCUCUCUUUUCUUUCUUCUAUCGAUCUUCACGGCGUGGUUGCUUUUCGAUCUCUCUCCCACAAAAUUAGGGUUAAGACCUAGAUCCGACCACCUUCAUGUUUUGGAAGCUUGCAUCUCUCUCUGCUUCCUCCCCCGUGGAGGCAAUAUUAGACAAGGAUAAUUUCACUUUGGAAGAGCUUCUGGAUGAAGAGGAAGUGAUCCAAGAAUGCAAGGCCUUAAACAGUCGCCUUAUCAACUUUUUGAGAGAUCAGACCCAGGUUGAGCAAUUGUUACGGUACAUUAUUGAAGAAGCACCCGAAGAUGCUGAAAAUAAACGAGCCUUCAAGUUUCCAUUCAUUGCCUGCGAGAUUUUUACAUGUGAAAUUGAUGUCAUUUUGAAGACCUUGGUUGAUGACGAAGAGCUGAUGAACUUAUUAUUCUCCUUUUUGGAGCCUAAUCGCUCACAUAGUGCCUUGUUAGCAGGCUACUUUAGUAAGGUUGUUGUUUGCCUAAUGAUUCGAAAGACAGUUCCACUGAUGAAUUAUGUUCAAGUCCAUCAGAAUGUUUUCCGUCAACUGGUUGAUUUGAUAGGAAUUACAUCCAUUAUGGAGGUUUUGGUUCGAUUAGUAGGUGCUGAUGACCAUAUGUAUCACAAUUUUAUAGAUGUGAUGCAAUGGUUGGCUGAGAGCAACUUGCUUGAGAUGAUUAUUGAUAAAUUGAGUCCAUCUUGUCCUCCCGAAGUUCAUGCCAAUGCUGCUGAAACAUUGUGCACAAUAACUAGAAAUCCCUCAUCUACUCUAGCAAUUAAACUUUCAAGCCCAAGUUAUGUUGAAAAACUAUUGGAUCACGCACUGGAAGAUUCACAGUCAAAGUCUAGCCUUGUGAAUUCACUUUCAGUGUGUGUUUCUUUGUUGGAUCCCAAAAGAUCUGCUAUAUCAUCUCCCCUUUUUCAUUCCUUUCGAAGUCAACACAUGUAUGAGCCACCAAUUCCUGUAAACCCAGACACUAUUGGUGCAAUGCUACCAAAACUUGGUGAAUUGCUUAUGCUUCUGAAUGUAUCAUCCGAUGAAAAAGUGUUGCCCACAACAUAUGGAGAACUGAGACCUCCCCUUGGCAAGCAUCGAUUGAAGAUUGUUGAGUUCAUUGCCGUCCUUCUGAAAACCGGAAAUGAAGUGGCAGAAAAAGACAUGGUCAAUUCAGGAACUAUUCAACGAGUCAUUGAUCUUUUCUUUGAGUAUCCAUAUAAUAACUCAUUACACCAUCAUGUAGAAAGUAUCAUAUUAUCAUGUUUGGAGAGUAAAGCUGAUGCCAUUGUUGAUCAUCUUCUUCGGGAGUGUAACUUAAUUGGAAGAUUUCUCCAAGCAGAUAAACAUUCUAUUCUAUCUGCUGACAAAAAUACGCCAACUGUACUUGCUGCUGGAAAACAGGCACCACGGGCAGGGAACAUUGGGCAUAUUACUCGUAUUGCUAACAAACUUGUUCACCUAGGACAUAGUCGAAGCCUCAUACUAACAUGUCUUCAGGAAAAUAGUGAGUGGAGUGAGUGGCAAACAUCAGUUCUUCAGGAGCGUAACGUGGUUGAGAAUGUUCACCGUUGGGCUUGUGGACGUCCGACUGCUUUGCAAGAUAGGAUGAGGGAUAGUGAUGACGAUGACCUUCAUGACAGGGACUAUGAUGUUGCAGCUUUAGCAAAUAAUUUGAGCCAGGCUUUUAGAUACAAAAUUUAUGGGAAUGAGGAUAAUGAGGAGGAACGUGGCAACGGUGAUAGAGAGGAUGAGGAUGUCUACUUUGAUGAUGACUCUGCUCAGGUAGUCAUAUCAAACCUCAGACUCAGUGAUGAUCAAGGGAGUAGUCUUUUCACAAACUCCAACUGGUUUGCAUUCCAAGACGACAGAAUUGGUGAUGCAACUGGGGGCACAACAUCAUCUGAGAUGAUGGAUGAGAUAAACAUGAAUGGUGCUGCAAAUGGUGGUAACAGUAGUGAUGAUGAGGUAGUUGUUGGAGAGGAUGAAGAAUUGGCUGAAAGCACCAAUAAUCUCAAUGGUACAUCUAACUCAAGCACAAACUUAAAUGGGGUAACUGGUAGUGAUUCCAUGAAUGGGGACGCCUUGAACUUCGAAAGCAAAAAGGCAAGUGCUUCACAUGAUAUGGGUUUCUUCAGGUUUGAGUCGGACAAUGAAGAAUUGUUUGGGGACAGGCCUUUGCCAGAGUGGGUGGAAUGGGGUGGACCUUUAGAUGUGCAAGAUGCUGGCUCAACCACGAAUCCAUUUGUGGACCAUGAUUCUUCUGGUUACAACCUUCCUACCAAACCUCAAAUAGGUAACCUAAAUCCUAGUCCUCCAAAUGGGGACUCUGUUCCUUCAAACAGGUCACCAACCCCUAAAGAUUCAAUUGUUGGGAGUAUUGACUCGAGUCAAAGAUCAAUAGCAGUACCAUCACUCUUUGAAGAAGAUGUUGAAUUUGUAGGUGUAGAAUUAGAAGGUACUGAGAAGGCUAUGGAACAGGCUUUGAAAGAAGGGAUAGUUGGAGAGGCAGGUCCAUUGAAAAGAAACAUGGUUUCUAAAGUGCCAGAAAAAGAAAGUUCUGAUGAGGGUGGUCCUGGAAUAAAGGAAUUCAAUGAUGCAAAUUACUGGAGGGUUGACCAGGAAGUUGCUGUUCUGGAGUGACACGGACAUGAUGGUAAAUCUUGUUUGUAUCAAAAGUUAGACCAACACCAGUGGACCCUAUUCUUGGUUCGCAGGAGCGAAUUCAGCAAAUUAAUCAUUCACGAUGAUUUGCCAUCAGUGAAUUUUGCCAAGUCUCUGCAAACACCAUGGUACCACCGGCAUCUGGUGAAUAUGAUUCGGCUGACUAAUGAGCUACAGAAUCGCGAAUUUAUCAUUUUAUCAUGGUUCAUUAUAUGUCACUGGCUGAAAGGUAAACAUUCUUCUAAGCAUGUGGUCCGCACUUUGGUCUUCAGGUUUCUUAGAAUGAAGAUAUUUGUUGGUAAGAUUUCGUCAUUAUCUCAAUGCCUUGUGUUAUUAGUCUUUAUCUAAAUAUUUUA